This 229-nucleotide ribosomal RNA is filed under the name uncultured Pseudomonadota bacterium. Its description in RNAcentral is "uncultured proteobacterium partial 16S ribosomal RNA". It matches the Rfam family "Bacterial small subunit ribosomal RNA", at positions 29 to 273 of the family's 1533-position model. The record is from RNAcentral. Lineage: Bacteria; Pseudomonadati; Pseudomonadota.
AGUGAACGCUGGCGGCACGCCUAACACAUGCAAGUCGAGCGAUAAGCUAACUUCGGUUAGUGGACAGCGGCGGACGGGUGAGUAUCGCGUGGGAAUUUACCAUAGAGUGGGGGACAACUGCUGGAAACGGCAGCUAAUACCGCAUACGCCCUAAGGGGGAAAGGCUUCGGCCGCUCAAUGAGAAGCCCGCGUACGAUUAGUUUGUUGGUGGGGUAAUGGCCUACCAAGA